RNAcentral lists this ribosomal RNA (445 nucleotides) under uncultured bacterium. RNAcentral's name for it is "partial 16S ribosomal RNA". It matches the Rfam family "Bacterial small subunit ribosomal RNA", at positions 354 to 796 of the family's 1533-position model. The record is from RNAcentral.
GUGGGGAAUUUUGGACAAUGGGCGCAAGCCUGAACCAGCCAUGCCGCGUGCAGGAAGACGGUCCUAUGGAUUGUAAACUGCUUUUAUUUGGGAAUAAACCUCCUUACGUGUAGGGAGCUGAAGGUACCAAAUGAAUAAGCACCGGCUAACUCCGUGCCAGCAGCCGCGGUAAUACGGAGGGUGCAAGCGUUAUCCGGAAUCAUUGGGUUUAAAGGGUCCGCAGGCGGUCAUAUAAGUCAGUGGUGAAAGCCUACAGCUCAACUGUAGAACUGCCAUUGAUACUGUAUGACUUGAAUUCGAUCGAAGUGGGCGGAAUGUGACAUGUAGCGGUGAAAUGCUUAGAUAUGUCACAGAACACCGAUAGCGAAGGCAGCUCACUAGGUCUGGAUUGACGCUCAGGGACGAAAGCGUGGGGAACAAACAGGAUUAGAUACCCCGGUAGUCC